AAUCUAAAACCCUUAUCGAGGAUCCAUUGGAGGGCAAGUCUGGUGCCAGCAGCCGCGGUAAUUCCAGCUCCAAUAGCGUAUAUUAAAGUUGUUGCAGUUAAAAAGCUCGUAGUUGAAUUUCUGGAUCUGCCGAGUGUGCGCCUCUGGCUGUAUGCUCCGCAGGUUCAUCUUCACCUCUCGGGGUGUCGUUUACUGUGAAGAAAUCAGAGUGUUUAAAGCAGGCAAUAGGCUUGAUUACAUUAGCAUGGAAUAAUGAGAUAGGACCUGGUCGCUAUUUUGUUGGUUGCGCGAUCGAGUAAUGAUUAAUAGGGUCAGUUGGGGGUAUUCAUAUUUAAUUGUCAGAGGUGAAAUUCUUGGAUUCAUUAAAGAUGAACUACUGCGAAAGCAUCUACCAAGGAUGUUUUCAUUAAUCAAGAACGAAAGUCAGGGGAUCGAAGAGGAUUAGAUACCCUCGUAGUCUUGACCAUAAACUAUGCCGACUCGGGAUUGGUACCUCUCUUUGACAAGGUAUCAGCACCGUAUGAUAAAUCAAAGUCUUUGGGUUCCGGGGGGAGUAUGGUCGCAAGGCUGAAACUUAAAGGAAUUGACGGAAGGGCACCACCAGGAGUGGAGCCUGCGGCUUAAUUUGACCCAACACGGGGAAACUCACCAGGUCCAGACAUAGUGAGGAUUGACAGAUUGAAAGAUCUUUCUUGAUUCUAUGGGUGGUGGUGCAUGGCCGUUCUUAGUUGGUGGAGUGAUUUGUCUGGUUAAUUCCGAUAACGAACGAGACCUCCGCCUGCUAGUCUAGAUUCUUCAUCCGUGGAUGGUGGAAUCUUCCUAGAGGGACUAUGGUCGUUUAGGCCAUGGAAGUUGGAGGCAAUAACAGGUCUGUGAUGCCCUUAGAUGUCCUGGGCCGCACGCGCGCUACACUGGCUGGUGCAACAAGUGUCUCCACGCUGGCCUCGAGAGGCCUGCGCAAUCUUGGAACGCCAGCCGUGAUGGGGAUAGGUUCUUGUAAUUUUUAAUCUUCAACGAGGAAUUCCUAGUAAACGCAAGUCAUCAGCUUGCAUUGAUUACGUCCCUGCCCUUUGUACACACCGCCCGUCGCACCUACCAAUUGGAUGGUCCGGUGAAGCCCUCGGAUUGGCCAGGAUCUUCGGUGACUGGCUCGAGAAGUAGGCUAAACCUUAUCAUCUAGAGGGAGGUGAAGUCGUAACAAGGU
RNAcentral lists this ribosomal RNA (1204 nucleotides) under metagenome. Its description in RNAcentral is "SSU rRNA". It matches the Rfam family "Eukaryotic small subunit ribosomal RNA", at positions 522 to 1800 of the family's 1831-position model. The record is from RNAcentral.